RNAcentral lists this ribosomal RNA (253 nucleotides) under uncultured bacterium. Its description in RNAcentral is "partial 16S ribosomal RNA". It matches the Rfam family "Bacterial small subunit ribosomal RNA", at positions 524 to 776 of the family's 1533-position model. RNAcentral also lists the same sequence under 1 other name. The record is from RNAcentral.
UACAGAGGGUGCAAGCGUUAAUCGGAAUUACUGGGCGUAAAGCGCGCGUAGGUGGUUUGUUAAGUUGAAUGUGAAAUCCCCGGGCUCAACCUGGGAACUGCAUCCAAAACUGGCAAGCUAGAGUAUGGUAGAGGGUGGUGGAAUUUCCUGUGUAGCGGUGAAAUGCGUAGAUAUAGGAAGGAACACCAGUGGCGAAGGCGACCACCUGGACUGAUACUGACACUGAGGUGCGAAAGCGUGGGGAGCAAACAGG